GCUGAGCAGCUCCUGCCUCUUGCAGGAGCUUUGGGAACAGUGCCUGGGUAUCCUCCUGCCCUCACCCAGAGAAGCCACUGCAGGGGUCGGGGGCAGGGCACUGAGACCAAGACAGAGGACACCACUCAGAGAUGCCAAGACAACUGAACUGUGGACCUGGGGGGGCUGAGAAGGAAAUGCUAACCUUGUGAGUCUGCACACCCCUCCCUGUCUAGCAAUGAAGCCCCGUGCUCUCGCAGAACUCUCUGAGGAUGCUCUAGUUCCGUUAUCUCUUAGAGAGAGGAGCGCGCACACCGCACGGGGUCAUUCUCCACUGAGGGUGCCGCUGUGCUCAGGCAGUUCAGGGAAUAAGUAAAUGCUGUUCUCUGCUCUCAGCAGAUGCCCCUGGUGGGAAAGAAGUGAGCUUCAAAUUUCCACUUCACAUCCUCCUAGAGCACAAAGAGUUAAUGGAGCACACAUUAAAGCCCCCUCGCAAUCCCUGCUCUCCCCACCAGCCGCCCCGCAGCUGUCAG
Molecule: non-coding RNA, 512 nt
Organism: Mus caroli (Ryukyu mouse)
Lineage: Eukaryota; Metazoa; Chordata; Mammalia; Rodentia; Muridae
Source: RefSeq, a predicted model, not a curated record